This 1914-nucleotide long non-coding RNA is filed under the name Marmota monax (woodchuck). The record is from RNAcentral. Lineage: Eukaryota; Metazoa; Chordata; Mammalia; Rodentia; Sciuridae.
GUAACAUGUUAUCACUAAGAUAUAUAUCUUAGGAUACUAGAGAACAGGAGGAAGCCAACCAGAGCACAUUCUGCAAACAGGAGAAUCGUUGGAAAGAGAAAUGUCCCUAAUAUUUUCAAGAGAAGCCACCCAUAGUCAGCAAAACUCUGGACCAAUCCUGGCAGAUGGCAGUACUGGUAGAAGAAGCUGAAGAAGGCAAGUGUCUUUUCACAUGUUCCCCAGAGUGACACCCUGAAGAAUCUCAGCUGACUCUUAAAAGAAGAUAGGAACAGGUUAAUUUUGACCAACUUGGUCUUAAAUACCUGAUAGAAUAGUAUGACCAAAGCACACUAAUACAUGAACACUUAAAGAAUAUUUUUUUUAAUGUAAUGUAAGACGUACAUGUAUUAGCCCUAUAAAAAGUAAGUAAAGCUGGAAGCUGUAAAGAAAGGGAUAUUAUGUGGUUACACCUAAUAUUUAACUAUCAUAAAGGACUCUGGAGUCCCAAGCUUGUCCUGCAUUUUAGAAUCUGGCUGAAAUACUGUCUGUUGUAUUAAUUAUUUACAAAAAGAGUAAUGCUUUGCUGUCUUGUUUAUUUGUGUCCUGCAGGAUCCUUGCCUAAUAUAUGCCUUGUCCAGUCACAUUUCAAAUGCCAGCAUAGACCUCUGGACCAUUCUGAUGCUGAAUACCCUUAAUUGUCCAUGCCUCACCUGAAAGAGAACAAGGACUUUGGGUCACUUCUUCCCUGUCAACUUUACCCUCUCCCAGCAGGAACAGCUUGGAGGUGUCCUCACCCAUUUGUCAAUAGAAAUGGAAUGUAGAAAUUGACAGUGGGUAUAUGAAACAGUGGUCCCUUGAUCUUUUGAACAUAGCCUUAGCUGCUUAUUUUAAAUGAGACUUGUUUUUCUUUUCCUCUACUCCCUGUCCACCUCCCUAACCGGGGCACAUGGAAUAGGAUUACCAUACCCUAGACCUAGUUAUCUGUAUUUGAGCACACACCAACACAGGAAGCAAGUAAUCCACACUUGAGGGAUGGCCCAGAUCUAAGGAAUAGCUAUCUUCCCAAUUAACAAUGCAUCACUAUCCCCCUUUAGGGCAAACUAGAAUGAAGCCUUUGAAGAGCUUCUUUAAAAGACCUCUGUUCUCCCUUAUGAGCAGAAUCCUGGCCUCUGGAAUAGGAGUUCAUGUUCUUCUUUUUUUGCUCUCAAUGCAAUAAACCUUUUCCUUUUGCUCAAAACCAUGUCAUCAUUAUUAGAUUGGCAUCGGGGACAAGGACCAUGCUUUUGGUAAUGGUAAUAACCAAAUUACAAACUUUACCUGGAUUUCACAUUUUUAUUUGUGAUAUCUAGUAAUAAGAGGGAUAUAUGGCAUGAUAAAACUAGUUCCAAAGAUUCAAAGCAGACAAAAAUGGCAAAAAUGUCUGGAUAUUUGGGUGGGGUGAGUUUCUAGGAAUCUGAAUUUACCCCCAAUGACAGGAAUAGAAGCUUAUAAAAAGUUAGCUUUUUUUCUAGAUAACUCUUGAUCAAUGCUGUGAAAUGAACAAUUUUACUCCAUAUGGGCAUUUCCUUUAUGCCCUUUGGAAUUUGUCGGGCAGCCAAGUGUGAGAGGCCCCUCUUUGCCUUAAAUGUUAAGGGUAAAAUAUUUUGAAGUUAUUUAGCCUUACUGCACAGACCUCUUCCAGUCACCAAUUAAAGUGUUAAGAGAUAUAGAUGUUUCGUGGUUUUGGACUCCACUGUUUUCUUUAUGUUCUCUCUCUCUCUCUCUCUCUCUCUGUCUCUCUGUCUCUCUCUCUUUCAUAGGCUGUGAAUGAAACCCAGGACCUUUUACAUGCUGGAUAAGCAUUUUAUCACUGAACUACUUCCAAGCCCCUUUUAGUACUUUGUUCUUGAUGCAUAUUUGUGAAACUAAUGCUGAAUUAUAUUUUUUUUUCUUGGC